Molecule: ribosomal RNA, 685 nt
Filed under: uncultured bacterium
Lineage: Bacteria
Description: bacterial SSU rRNA
Rfam family: Bacterial small subunit ribosomal RNA
Source: RNAcentral
GAGUUUGAUCCUGGCUCAGGAUGAACGCUAGCGGCAGGCCUAACACAUGCAAGUCGAGGGGUAACAGAGAGUGCUUGCACUUUGCUGACGACCGGCGCACGGGUGCGUAACGCGUAUGCAACCUACCUUUUACUGGAGGAUAGUCAAUAGAAAUGUUGAAUAAUACUCCAUACGAUCUUUGAGUGGCAUUACUUAAAGAAGAAAGCUCCGGCGGUAAAAGAUGGGCAUGCGUCCUAUUAGUUAGUUGGUGAGGUAACGGCUCACCAAGACAUCGAUAGGUAGGGGCCCUGAGAGGGGGAUCCCCCACACUGGUACUGAGACACGGACCAGACUCCUACGGGAGGCAGCAGUGAGGAAUAUUGGACAAUGGAGGCAACUCUGAUCCAGCCAUGCCGCGUGCAGGAAGACUGCCCUAUGGGUUGUAAACUGCUUUUAUACAGGAAGAAACCUACUUACGUGUAAGUAGCUGACGGUACUGUAAGAAUAAGGAUCGGCUAACUCCGUGCCAGCAGCCGCGGUAAUACGGAGGAUCCAAGCGUUAUCCGGAAUCAUUGGGUUUAAAGGGUCCGUAGGUGGUUUAUUAAGUCAGAGGUGAAAUCCUAUCGCUCAACGAUAGAACUGCCCUUGAAACUGAUAGACUUGAGUUAUUGUGAAGUAGUUAGAAUAUGUAGUGUAGCGGUGAAAU